RNAcentral lists this transfer RNA (50 nucleotides) under Sundasciurus lowii (Low's squirrel). RNAcentral describes it as "tRNA-Phe". The record is from RNAcentral. Lineage: Eukaryota; Metazoa; Chordata; Mammalia; Rodentia; Sciuridae.
AAAGCAAAGCACUGAAAAUGCUUAGAUGGGUAUUUUAUACCCCAUAAACA